RNAcentral lists this ribosomal RNA (384 nucleotides) under Triticum aestivum (bread wheat). RNAcentral's name for it is "partial small subunit ribosomal RNA". The record is from RNAcentral. Lineage: Eukaryota; Viridiplantae; Streptophyta; Magnoliopsida; Poales; Poaceae.
AUGGGUGGUAUUAUUGCUAAACGGUUAAGUCUGAACCGUACAAAGGGCCCCAUUUUUGGAGGUAUUUACGCUUCACGCCUUGCUGCACACUAUAACAUACCUAUUAGGCACUAUGAAAAAGAAGAAAAAUUGCUGCCCACUGUUUAUCUAGAUUAUAAGAGUAUGGUAGCGCAUGACUUUAUUGUUAAGAAUAGGGAAGGGGCGCUUAAAUACAAAUUGUUUUUUGAUAAACAUCACCCUGAGACUAUUACCUUGCCUGCUCCUUCCUUGUUUGAUUUAUCUGCAGGUCCGUAUCUCAUUCCACUGGCGGCCAUUCAUGCCUACCUGAACCCCACAUCAGCCACAGAGCCAGAGCCGGAACCACAAUUUGAACCUCCACGAUAG